GACGAACGCUGGCGGCGUGCUUAACACAUGCAAGUCGAACGGAAAGGCCCUGCUUGCAGGGUACUCGAGUGGCGAACGGGUGAGUAACACGUGGGUGAUCUGCCCUGCACUUCGGGAUAAGCCUGGGAAACUGGGUCUAAUACCGGAUAGGAGCCAUUUUUAGUGUGAUGGUUGGAAAGUUUUUUCGGUGUAGGAUGAGCUCGCGGCCUAUCAGCUUGUUGGUGGGGUAAUGGCCUACCAAGGCGGCGACGGGUAGCCGGCCUGAGAGGGUGGACGGCCACAUUGGGACUGAGAGACGGCCCAGACUCCUACGGGAGGCAGCAGGGGGGAAUAUUGCACAAGGGGCGCAAGCCGGAUGCAGCGACGCCGCGUGGGGGAUGACGGCCUUCGGGUUGUAAACUCCUUUCGCUAGGGACGAAGCUUUUUGUGACGGUACCUAGAUAAGAAGCACCGGCUAACUACGUG
This 465-nucleotide ribosomal RNA is filed under the name uncultured bacterium. Its description in RNAcentral is "partial 16S ribosomal RNA". It matches the Rfam family "Bacterial small subunit ribosomal RNA", at positions 28 to 507 of the family's 1533-position model. The record is from RNAcentral.